Molecule: ribosomal RNA, 492 nt
Filed under: uncultured bacterium
Lineage: Bacteria
Description: partial 16S ribosomal RNA
Rfam family: Bacterial small subunit ribosomal RNA
Source: RNAcentral
GACGAACGCUGGCGGCGUGCUUAACACAUGCAAGUCGAACGGAAAGGCCUGCUUUCCCUUGUGGAUUGCGGGUACUCGAGUGGCGAACGGGUGAGUAACACGUGAGUGAUCUGCCCCCAACUUGGGUAUAAGCCUGGGAAACUGGGUCUAAUUCCCGAUAGGACUGCAGGGUGGUGCCUGUGGUGGAAAACGAUUUUCUAGUGGUUGGGGAUGAGCUCGCGGCCUAUCAGCUUGUUGGUGGGGUAAUGGCCUACCAAGGCGGCGACGGGUAGCCGGCCUGAGAGGGUGGACGGCCACAGUGGGACGGAGAUACGGCCCAGACGCCUACGGGAGGCAGCAGUGGGGAAUAUUGCACAAUGGGCGGAAGCCUGAUGCAGCGACGGCGCGUGGGGGAUGACGGCCUUCGGGUUGUAAACUCCUUUCGACCGCGAGGAAGCCACCUGGUUGGAAGGGUGGUGACGGUAGUGGUAGAAGAAGCACCGGCUAACUACG